CAGUCUUAUAAACCCUAAUUUCAUAGCCUAUAUACACACAUCCAACCUCCAUUCUCUCAAUAGAUCGCCGCUUCUAUCUUUUUUCCUUUUUAUGUUCUAGCUUUCCACUGCUUCUUUGUUUUUGUUUUGAUUCUUGAAAAUUAUUGAUUGAAAGAUCGCGGUGAUGACUCGGAAAUUCAAGCUCAACAGACCGGAAUGCAGGCAUCUCUCUUUCGAGAUUUGUUUGCGUGUCGAUAAUCCCGCUGAACUGAGCGAUCUUUCUUUUACAUUUAAAAUUUUCUAUUUUUUAAUUCUGUUUUGAAUUUCUUGAUUUGUUUUGGCAAAUGAAAGAUGUUACGAUGAGGAUUCAAAGCUCCCUCUUCUGAUUUCUUAGUUGAGGAAACUCUGCUGGCAGAAUCGAACCAAAUUAAACUUCAUGCCUUCUGACCCUUAAGAUCGCCUUCCAAUUAGCUAAAUGGAAGCGUUUUGAGUCAUAGCUACGCUAUAUCAAAUCUGAUGCGUACAUGUAUAUGUAUGUAUCAAUUUCAAGGUUUCUCUUUAGGGUUUUCCUUUCGAGAAUCUUUUAUCCUAGAAGAAUAAAAUUAAUUCGAAGCGAAUUCAUUGUUAUUUAAAUCUAUAACGUGCUUAAUUUUUUGAAACUCUUUUACGAUGAUUUAUUAUCGUUUUGGUGUUUCAGAUUCUUAAGGGGUUUGGAUUUUUGAUGAAAGCUUCGGUUUUUUCUUAUGGGAAACAUCAU
Molecule: non-coding RNA, 736 nt
Organism: Lactuca sativa (garden lettuce)
Lineage: Eukaryota; Viridiplantae; Streptophyta; Magnoliopsida; Asterales; Asteraceae
Source: RefSeq, a predicted model, not a curated record